This 548-nucleotide ribosomal RNA is filed under the name uncultured archaeon. RNAcentral's name for it is "bacterial SSU rRNA". It matches the Rfam family "Archaeal small subunit ribosomal RNA", at positions 331 to 879 of the family's 1478-position model. The record is from RNAcentral.
UGCAGCAGGCGCGAAAACUCUACAAUGCAGGCAACUGCGAUAGGGGAACAUCGAGUGAUACUCAUCUUGGGUGUCUGUCCUCCCGUCUAAAAAACGGGAGUUAGCAAGGGCCGGGCAAGACCGGUGCCAGCCGCCGCGGUAAUACCGGCGGCUCGAGUGGUGGCCGAUAUUAUUGAGUCUAAAGGGUCCGUAGCCGGCUUUGCAAGUCUUUUGGGAAAUCCAGCGGCUUAACCGUUGGUCGUCCGGGAGAUACUACAUUGCUUGGGACUGGGAGAGGUAGGAGGUACUCAGGGGGUAGGAGUGAAAUCCUGUAAUCCUUUGGGGACCACCGGUGGCGAAGGCGUCCUACCAGAACAGGUCCGACGGUGAGGGACGAAAGCUAGGGGCACGAACCGGAUUAGAUACCCGGGUAGUCCUAGCCGUAAACGAUGCUCGCUAGGUGUCACAACAAUCGUGAAUUGUUGUGGUGCCGUAGGGAAGCCGUGAAGCGAGCCACUUGGGAAGUACGACCGCAAGGUUGAAACUUAAAGGAAUUGGCGGGGGAGCAC